This 468-nucleotide ribosomal RNA is filed under the name uncultured bacterium. RNAcentral's name for it is "partial 16S ribosomal RNA". It matches the Rfam family "Bacterial small subunit ribosomal RNA", at positions 28 to 507 of the family's 1533-position model. The record is from RNAcentral.
GACGAACGCUGGCGGCGUGCUUAACACAUGCCAGUCGAACGGAAAGGCCCUGCUUUUUUGGUGUUCUCGAGUGGCGAACGGGUGAGUAACACGUGAGUAACCUGCCCUUGACUUUGGGAUAACUUCAGGAAACUGGGGCUAAUACCGGAUAGGAGCUCCUGCUGCAUGGUGGGGGUUGGAAAGUUUCGGCGGUUGGGGAUGGACUCGCGGCUUAUCAGCUUGUUGGUGGGGUAGUGGCUUACCAAGGCUUUGACGGGUAGCCGGCCUGAGAGGGUGACCGGCCACAUUGGGACUGAGAUAGGGCCCAGACUCCUACGGGAGGCAGCAGUGGGGAAUAUUGCACAAUGGGCGGAAGCCUGAUGCAGCAACGCCGCGUGCGGGAUGACGGCCUUCGGGUUGUAAACCGCUUUCGCCUGUGACGAAGCGUGAGUGACGGUAAUGGGUAAAGAAGCACCGGCUAACUACGUG